This 400-nucleotide ribosomal RNA is filed under the name uncultured bacterium. Its description in RNAcentral is "bacterial SSU rRNA". It matches the Rfam family "Bacterial small subunit ribosomal RNA", at positions 355 to 771 of the family's 1533-position model. The record is from RNAcentral.
UGGGGAAUCUUGCGCAAUGGGCGAAAGCCUGACGCAGCAACGCCGCGUGCGGGAUGACGGCCUUCGGGUUGUAAACCGCUUUCAGCAGGGACGAAGAUGACGGUACCUGCAGAAGAAGCCCCGGCCAACUACGUGCCAGCAGCCGCGGUAACACGUAGGGGGCAAGCGUUGUCCGGAUUCAUUGGGCGUAAAGAGCUCGUAGGCGGCUCAGCAAGUCGGGUGUGAAACCUCCGGGCUCAACUCGGAGACGCCACCCGAUACUGCUGUAGCUAGAGUCCAGUAGGGGAGCGUGGAAUUCCCGGUGUAGCGGUGAAAUGCGCAGAUAUCGGGAGGAACACCGGCGGCGAAGGCGGCGCUCUGGGCUGGAACUGACGCUGAGGAGCGAAAGCGUGGGUAGCGA